GGGGCCCACCCCAUGGAGAUGCAGUUGCCCUGGUGAUGUUCCCCCCAGCAGGGAUGCAGUUCCCAUGGCGAUGUUCCCCUGGCAGGCGGGGCCGUUGUCCCACUGCCGCCAGGGGACCCCAGAGCCAGGCCCUGACGGGGACAUGCCCUUGCCUUGGCCCCUGACGUCGCAGCUUCCUGGCGCUUUGCCUCCUUGUCCAGGGAAACGCUUCAGUGUCAGCUGCCAGGCUCAGAGCUCCUUCCCGAGGAUGACCCUCAUCUACUGGCUGGCAAACGGCUCCUUCGUGGAGGACCGGUACCCGGACGGGGCAGUGAGCAAAGGGGACGUCGUAAGGGAGCUCCGGGGCACCAAGGUCCUCCUGACCCGGGAGCUGCACUUCCGCUCCUUCUCCUGGAGGGACUGGAGCACCUCGUUCCUGUGCAUGGUGAGGAACCCGGCCGGGCUCGAAAAGGUGCUUGUCCACUGGGACCCUAAACGGCCAGCACAGAUCUCCGAGCCGCAGCAGGAGACAAGGCAGGAUGUCCAGACCCCAGAGAGCACCCCCACCAUGGACCGCACCGAGAGCACGGACUGAGCGUGGGGACAACAGCGCCAGCCUGCGAGAGGCACCGAUACUGGGUCUACGGCUGCCAAGGCCAUGUCAGCCUCCCUCCAUGGCCAACACAGCUGAGCUGCGCUGCCCUCCCCUGCCCCCUCUGUUCUUCCUGUGUCUGCUUGCCGCCCGGCCGGGCCAUGGCUUGGCUGCCCCGGAGGCCUAGGGCUGGAUAUAGCCCCAGCCCUCUGCUUGUCUGUUACAUUCCCCACCCCAGACACAUUACACUGGUGGGGGAGGCUCCCAGAGGACUUGCCCUCUGGACACGGGCACAAGGCGGCAGUAACGGGGCUGGGAAAGGCCCACGUUUGCCCCCCACCCCAUCCCUCUUCCACCGCUCUGGCAGGGUCACUCUCUCCCCUAGUGAAGUGGGGUGACCAAAGCCGCCCCCUGCUGCCAGCCCAGCCUACGACUGAAGGGGGCAGGGUCCCUUCGACAGCUGCCAGCAAUGCCCUGCCCAUUAUAUGCCCAGGAGGGCAGCACCUGCUUGGGGCAGGAGCUAGGAGACCAGCAACCACAGGCCUCUUGCUGCCAGCUCUCCUCCCACUUUGCACUGUUUCUAUUAAAUAAAAAUACA
Molecule: long non-coding RNA, 1169 nt
Filed under: Chrysemys picta bellii (western painted turtle)
Lineage: Eukaryota; Metazoa; Chordata; Testudines; Emydidae
Description: lncRNA (ENSCPBG00000003976.1)
Source: RNAcentral